Molecule: ribosomal RNA, 482 nt
Filed under: uncultured bacterium
Lineage: Bacteria
Description: partial 16S ribosomal RNA
Rfam family: Bacterial small subunit ribosomal RNA
Source: RNAcentral
AUUGAACGCUGGCGGCAUGCUUUACACAUGCAAGUCGAACGGUAACAGGCCGCAAGGUGCUGACGAGUGGCGAACGGGUGAGUAAUGCAUCGGAACGUGCCCAGUCGUGGGGGAUAACUACUCGAAAGAGUAGCUAAUACCGCAUACGAUCUAUGGAUGAAAGCGGGGGACCGUAAGGCCUCGCGCGAUUGGAGCGGCCGAUGUCAGAUUAGGUAGUUGGUGGGGUAAAGGCUCACCAAGCCAACGAUCUGUAGCUGGUCUGAGAGGACGACCAGCCACACUGGGACUGAGACACGGCCCAGACUCCUACGGGAGGCAGCAGUGGGGAAUUGUGGACAAUGGGCGCAAGCCUGAUCCAGCAAUGCCGCGUGCAGGAAGAAGGCCUUCGGGUUGUAAACUGCUUUUGUACGGAACGAAACGGCUCUGGUUAAUACCCGGGGCUAAUGACGGUACCGUAAGAAUAAGCACCGGCUAACUACGUG